Molecule: long non-coding RNA, 2475 nt
Organism: Brassica rapa (field mustard)
Lineage: Eukaryota; Viridiplantae; Streptophyta; Magnoliopsida; Brassicales; Brassicaceae
Source: RefSeq, a predicted model, not a curated record
UCCCGUAAUAUCAAGAAAUGGGAAUCACUCUUCUUUUCCUAGAUGAAAAGAGAUCUGUGAUCCACUGAUCCAUCGUUACGGACGGAUGGAUCACUACCGUCCCGGUUCCAUCGUCAAAGUUGAUAGGUUUUGAAGUUGAAAGAUGUUUAUCUGUUUAUAGCCUCUUACAAAGACUGGCCGUUGUCUUAUACGUCGGAUGCAGUAGGAAGUUGGACAAAUUUGGCACUUCUCUCUCUUGUAACAAAUAUGUUUCUCCCAACAUUACAGAUGUGAUCAAGUACAAAGGUAACAUCCUCACCCAUAAAAUAGGGAAACACGUUAUUCUUGGAUAUAUAUUAACACUUUUCAAACUUUUUUAAAAGUACCAUGUUGAACUAUACUUGCAACUACGGCAACGAUAGUGACAUAUGUGGUCUUCAACAGGGAGAUGACCAAGCUCACUAAGCAAGAUGCUUCUGCUCUGGCUCUUGAGGGAGUUCAUCUUUUGGUUUUACACUUCAUUUAACCCAUGUUUAGAACUGUAACAAGCACUAAUUGUUUCACAAACGUACUAUAGAUAAAUGGCGGUGGUGGGCAAGAACUACCAAGAUGUCUUUAAAAGCUUGCUGGCAAAGAAUACUUUUCUCAGAUAUGUGCCACUCCAUACAAUUUUGUCCCAAACUACCGUGUCUGGGUCUGCAGUCAGUGACACAGAGAGUACCAGCAGCUUCAAAGCUCCAAUUAUUGGAGGGAAAGGUCGAGAAGCUACAGCUUCUGCAACCAACACGGUUCCAGCGGCGAAGAUAGAAAUCAGAGGCGAUGAAGCAAAUCCGGCAGGUUUUGAAGGCAAAUAUAAUAGCCGCAAACAACCCUAAGUGAUACUUCAGCAAUGUCCCAUAUAUAAAGGCAGCGUUGACAGGAUGUUCAAAACUAAAUGCAUCAUUUCAUGUUUACAUAGAAACAUUGAACUCGCGUAUACAUGCAUUUUGGCUAACUUAUUAUAAAUGUAAGUAAACUAUUUAGUUUUAAAUGAAUAUUAGAUCUUGACCCGCACAAUCGCGCGGAUAUUUGUUUUCAUUUUUAUCAUUAAUAUCAUAUAUUCUUAAUAUUCACUAUGUUUUAAAUAUUUAUAUAAUUUUCUCAAAUACAAUAAUGUUUUAAUUUGCAUAUUUGUCAUUCUAUCAAUUGUUUCAAACCAAUCAAAUUAAUAUGAUUUUUCCUAUUAUUAGUCAUCUUCUCUCGUCUUUCUUUUUGAUCUCUAAUCUAACGAUCGAUUCUCCAACCCUAAAAAAUAGAAGCAAUACUGUGAAGAUGAUUACUUAGUUCUGAACAUAGAACGAUUUUAUGUCUGUCGGUAAUCCCUAUGGACGUGAGUUAAUACUCUUAUGGUAUUCAGUCAUGUGUUUGACUUAUUAACUCACGUAUUACAAAGCAAGAAGAACUAUACACAAUAAAUGUAUAGCUUUAUAGAUGAACUGUUUAUAGAUGAACUAUAAAUGAAAUAACACAAUUGUUAAUCGUAUAUUAAUACCAUCAUAAUCUCAUUCCUAUCAUUGUACAAUAGUUUAGAUGUUUUAUUCAAACAAAAGUUAGUUAUAAAUAGAAGGGAAACGAUAUAGAGCUAUAUAUAUUGUUAAGAUUUUAUUAUGUAAAUACACAAAUAUAAUGUAAAACAAUUUUUUAAAGAGAUCCAUUUUAAAAUAUCACACAUGAAAGAAAUCAUGAUUUCUAUUUUAAUAGAUAAGAUUAUUAAUAAGGGUCCAUGUAACCCACUGAACCUUAAAAUUCAUUUGGUACUAAAGAUCCUCUACAACCAAGUGACAUCAGAGCCUAUAUAUUAUAAUAGGAGAGUUUUUGCUCUCUUCUAAAUCUAUCCACGUCAGCAGUUUUUUUUUGUGUGGGCUCCAUUAAGACAAUAAAUAUUACGUAACCAACGUUCUUUUUGUCCACGUAAUUUUUUGUCUUUUGGUUUCGAUAUAUCAUUUCUCAUUUGGUUUGGUUAUCUUAAUAUAUAUAUACCAUAUGAUACAAAACCAUAAACGAACCCAAUAAAUUUUGAAGCCCAUUGGCUAGCCUGCUUAGUAAUGAUGUUGUCGUUUGAAGUUUGAACCCCAAAGAAAUCUAAACUUUGUGUAUAAUGUGUUACUUAAUUAGGUUGAAAAUCGUCUCCAUCUUCCACGAUACAACGUAGCCGUCUCCGCCGUUGUUAAAAAAAACUUCUUUGUCAACUUUUGACCUCUCAUAUCUCUUCAACUUCGUUUCUUGCGCACCCUUCGUUCAAUGUUUCUUUCCUAAUAUAUACAAUGGAUCUUCAGUUGACAUUGAAAUCAUUAAAGCUCACCAACUCUCCGUCUCCCUACAUUUACAAUAGAAGCUUUAUGCGUGUUAAAACCGGUAAACACCUCAAACCCUAUAAAUAGGAGAGGCUAGGGUCUGGAAUCACACCCCCACAAACUCUUUUUCUCAGUUUAUCUUCACUCGAAAACCUAGAAGCUU